This 22-nucleotide non-coding RNA is filed under the name Arabidopsis thaliana (thale cress). Lineage: Eukaryota; Viridiplantae; Streptophyta; Magnoliopsida; Brassicales; Brassicaceae. The record is from RNAcentral.
GUGUUGGGCCUGAUGGGCUUCU